AACGAAGUGAAUUGAAAUAUCUUAGUAACUUUAGGAAAAGAAAUCAAACGAGAUUGUUAUUUGGUGCCAACUAAAUAACAAGAGCCUAUUAACAAAACUUGUUAAAGUAAAAUGGAUUAAAAUCUGUUUGAAUAUAGGGGAACCUUCCUCUAAGGCUAAAUAUGGUAUAUAAGCGAUAGUGAAAAGUACCGUGAGGUAAAAUUUGAAAUAGUAGUUUUAUAAGCAGCUUUAGUGAAAAUUUAAAUAAAUAAUUAAAGUGUACCUUUUGCAUAAUGGGUCAGCAAGUUAAUUUUAGAUGCAAGCAAUAAUUUCGUGCGUUUUGCGCAUGAAACUAGCUUAGAUAAACCAAUUAUGAAAAAAUGAAUAAGUAUCUAGAAUUAGACCCGAAGGCUAGUGAUCUUACCAUGGUCAGGGUUAUAAAAGCCCGAACGGGUUAUCGUUGUAUAGAUAUCCGAAGAAUUGUGGUAAGUUAGUGAAAGACAAAACUGACUAGUAUAGCUGGUUUUCCGCGAAACCUAUAUGAGUAGGUAAUUUAACUAACAUCUUAGCAGGUACAGAACUGUGAUCUCGGACAAUAUCUUUUGAUUUUGUCAACAUCGGGGGGUUGUAGUGACUUUACCGGAGAGUAUUUGCACUCGGAAUGGCAAAGAUGAAUGUUGAAUAAUCGGACAUAGUGCGAUAAGGUUGUAUGUCUAAAGGGAAACAGCCCAGAACAAGAGUUAAGGUUCCAAAAUUAUUGUUGAGUGAAAUUAAGGAUGUUUUUUUUAAAAACAAUCAGGAAAUAGGCUUAGAAGCGGCCAUUUUUUGAAGACCUCGUAACAGAGCACUGAUUAAAUUUUUUAGAAAAAAACACCGAAAAUUUAACGGAUCUAAACAAUAUACCGAAACCUUGUACACAUAUUAAUAAUAUUAAUAUUAAUAUUGUAUAUGUGGGGUAGCGGAACAUUGGAUAAAUAUUAAUUAUUAUUUCUUGUAAGAUAUAAUAAGGUUGGAUUAUAUUUAUUUAUUUUCUAUUUUUUAUUAUUAUUAUUAUUAAGAUGUAUAUUUUUUAUGUUUUUAAAAUAAAUAAAUAUAAUCCAUUGAUAUAAUCCAAGAGAGAAUGCUGACAUGAGUAACGAAAAAGGAAUAUCCUCGCCUUAAGCUUAUGGUAUUUUAUUUAAUUUUCGGUAUCUAAAAAUAUUAAUCAAAAGGUAAUUUUGAUGAUAUUUAUAUAUUAAUACUUAUAAGUAAAAAACAAAACCUUUAACUAGUAAUAAAGGUUCUGGAAAAUUUUUUACUUUAGAUAAAAAUAAUAAAUUUUAAUCUAAAAUCUAAAUCUAAGUUACAUACUAUAUAAUUUCUUGUUACAAGUUUUCAAGAUUGUAUAGUUAUAAUCUAAUAUAAUAUAAUCUAAUAUAAUUUUUAUUUUUAUACUAUUUUAGUAUAAUAAGGUUUAUAUAUACCGUACCUAGAUACUAUCACAAGUAAGCAAGUAGAGAAUACAAAGGCGUUUGAGUGAACAAUCAUUAAGGAACUCGGCAAAUUGACUACCGUAACUUCGGGAUAAGGAGGGCCAUUAUGAUUAGUUUAACAUAUAUAAUUAUAUGAUUUAAUUAAACUAAUCAUAAGAGGAAACAUGAAAUAAUGUUGUACGACUGUUUAAUAAAAACACAGCACUCUGCAAAGAUAAAAUAUCAAAGUAUUGAGUGUGAUGUCUGCCCAAUGUCGGCUGGAUAACGGAUUUACCUUGGUUUUUAACUUAGGUUUUGAAGGAUACCCCGAUUAAUGGCGGCCUUACCUAUGAGGGUCCUAAGGUAGCGAAAUACCUUGGCCGUUAAAUGCGGUCCUGCAUGAAUGACUUAACGAUACAACAGCUGUCUCGAUGAUUGUCUCAGUGAAAUUGGAAUAGCAGUGCAGAUACUGUUUACCUCUAGAUAGACGAGAAGACCCUAUGCAGCUUUACUGUUACUAAUUGCAAGAGUUAAAAUUUAGGAUGAUUUCGAGUGUAUAAGGUAGUUGUUUGAUAACAAUGAAACACCUUUAUUCGUUUCCUACUAUAUGCUCUUGAGGAUUGGAAGGCAGUUUAUGCGGGGCACAGAUCCCACAAAAAGUACCUGGGUAUAUCCAAAGUUCAUUUUGUAAAUUUGUAAAUUUGUUUACAAAUAUUUUAAUUUGUUAUAAUUAUAUUGAUAAUUAUACAGUUAUUGUUAGAUUAAAUUCAAUAUUUAUUUUUAUUUUAAGUAAGAUUUUAACUAUAUGGUGAAUAGAUGUAUUUUAAACUUUACCCGGGGCGGUACUGAUCUAAGUUCCGCCGAGGGCGAUAUUUAAAAGUUUUUUUUCAUAUUAAUAUUGUAUUUUAUCUUUAUUAAUAUGAUAAUUAAUUAUACUUUAAAAGUUUAAUGGCUAAAUCUUGCUUUACUGUUUGACCUACAAGUCUAUCAGUCGCGUAAGCGGGGCAUAUGAUCACAAGAUGCAUAAAGGAAAGGUCUUGGAUUAUAGAAAAAGUUACGCUAGGGAUAACAGGCUAAUUUGCGCAAGAGAGUACAAAUUGAGUGCGCGGUUUGGCACCUCGAUGUCGGCUUAGCUCAUCCACAUGAAUGCAAAAAUCAUGAAGGGUUCGACUGUUCGUCGAUUAAAGAGCUACAUGAGCUGGGUUUAAUACGUCGUGAGACAGUAUGGUUUCUAUCUUCUAGAGGAAAUUAAAGUAGAAUAAAGAUAGCCCCUUCGUACGAAAGGAGUUGGGUAUAUUGACCUAUGGUUUACCUGUUGUUUAUGUUAUAUAAUAAUAUAUAUAUUAUUAUAUCAUUUACUUAUACUUAAGUAAAUUGUUCACAUAGGCAUGGCAGGAAGGCUACGUCAGUUAAAGAUAAGUGCUGAAAGCAUUUAAGCGCGAAGCUUACUUUAGGAUACUUUUAAACGUAGUAGAACACUACGA
Molecule: ribosomal RNA, 2914 nt
Filed under: Aspergillus avenaceus
Lineage: Eukaryota; Fungi; Ascomycota; Eurotiomycetes; Eurotiales; Aspergillaceae
Description: large subunit ribosomal RNA
Rfam family: Bacterial large subunit ribosomal RNA
Source: RNAcentral